UGUGUGUUAGUGGAAGCGUCUGGAAAGGCGCGCGAUACAGGGUGACAGCCCCGUACACAAAAAUGCACAUGCUGUGAGCUCGAUGAGUAGGGCGGGACACGUGGUAUCCUGUCUGAAUAUGGGGGGACCAUCCUCCAAGGCUAAAUACUCCUGACUGACCGAUAGUGAACCAGUACCGUGAGGGAAAGGCGAAAAGAACCCCGGCGAGGGGAGUGAAAAAGAACCUGAAACCGUGUACGUACAAGCAGUGGGAGCACGCUUAGGCGUGUGACUGCGUACCUUUUGUAUAAUGGGUCAGCGACUUAUAUUCUGUAGCAAGGUUAACCGAAUAGGGGAGCCGAAGGGAAACCGAGUCUUAACUGGGCGUUAAGUUGCAGGGUAUAGACCCGAAACCCGGUGAUCUAGCCAUGGGCAGGUUGAAGGUUGGGUAACACUAACUGGAGGACCGAACCGACUAAUGUUGAAAAAUUAGCGGAUGACUUGUGGCUGGGGGUGAAAGGCCAAUCAAACCGGGAGAUAGCUGGUUCUCCCCGAAAGCUAUUUAGGUAGCGCCUCGUGAAUUCAUCUCCGGGGGUAGAGCACUGUUUCGGCAAGGGGGUCAUCCCGACUUACCAACCCGAUGCAAACUGCGAAUACCGGAGAAUGUUAUCACGGGAGACACACGGCGGGUGCUAACGUCCGUCGUGAAGAGGGAAACAACCCAGACCGCCAGCUAAGGUCCCAAAGUCAUGGUUAAGUGGGAAACGAUGUGGGAAGGCCCAGACAGCCAGGAUGUUGGCUUAGAAGCAGCCAUCAUUUAAAGAAAGCGUAAUAGCUCACUGGUCGAGUCGGCCUGCGCGGAAGAUGUAACGGGGCUAAACCAUGCACCGAAGCUGCGGCAGCGACGCUGAUGCGUUGUUGGGUAGGGGAGCGUUCUGUAAGCCUGCGAAGGUGUGCUGUGAGGCAUGCUGGAGGUAUCAGAAGUGCGAAUGCUGACAUAAGUAACGAUAAAGCGGGUGAAAAGCCCGCUCGCCGGAAGACCAAGGGUUCCUGUCCAACGUUAAUCGGGGCAGGGUGAGUCGACCCCUAAGGCGAGGCCGAAAGGCGUAGUCGAUGGGAAACAGGUUAAUAUUCCUGUACUUGGUGUUACUGCGAAGGGGGGACGGAGAAGGCUAUGUUGGCCGGGCGACGGUUGUCCCGGUUUAAGCGUGUAGGCUGGUUUUCCAGGCAAAUCCGGAAAAUCAAGGCUGAGGCGUGAUGACGAGGCACUACGGUGCUGAAGCAACAAAUGCCCUGCUUCCAGGAAAAGCCUCUAAGCAUCAGGUAACAUCAAAUCGUACCCCAAACCGACACAGGUGGUCAGGUAGAGAAUACCAAGGCGCUUGAGAGAACUCGGGUGAAGGAACUAGGCAAAAUGGUGCCGUAACUUCGGGAGAAGGCACGC
RNAcentral lists this ribosomal RNA (1423 nucleotides) under Escherichia coli. RNAcentral describes it as "partial 23S ribosomal RNA". It matches the Rfam family "Bacterial large subunit ribosomal RNA", at positions 323 to 1751 of the family's 2925-position model. The record is from RNAcentral. Lineage: Bacteria; Pseudomonadati; Pseudomonadota; Gammaproteobacteria; Enterobacterales; Enterobacteriaceae.